UGAGGAAUAUUGGUCAAUGGGCGAGAGCCUGAACCAGCCAAGUAGCGUGCAGGAUGACGGCCCUAUGGGUUGUAAACUGCUUUUAUAUGGGAAUAAAGUGAGGGACGUGUCCCUUAUUGCAUGUACCAUAUGAAUAAGGACCGGCUAAUUCCGUGCCAGCAGCCGCGGUAAUACGGAAGGUCCAGGCGUUAUCCGGAUUUAUUGGGUUUAAAGGGAGCGUAGGCUGUCUAUUAAGCGUGUUGUGAAAUAUACCGGCUCAACCGGUGGCUUGCAGCGCGAACUGGUCGACUUGAGUAUGCAGGAAGUAGGCGGAAUUCAUGGUGUAGCGGUGAAAUGCUUAGAUAUCAUGACGAACUCCGAUUGCGCAGGCAGCUUACUGUAGCAUAACUGACGCUGAUGCUCGAAAGUGCGGGUAUCAAACAGG
Molecule: ribosomal RNA, 424 nt
Filed under: Verrucomicrobiota bacterium
Lineage: Bacteria; Pseudomonadati; Verrucomicrobiota
Description: Verrucomicrobia bacterium partial 16S ribosomal RNA
Rfam family: Bacterial small subunit ribosomal RNA
Source: RNAcentral